Oncorhynchus tshawytscha (Chinook salmon) is the source of this 1415-nucleotide long non-coding RNA. NCBI's taxonomy places the organism in Eukaryota, Metazoa, Chordata, Actinopteri, Salmoniformes, Salmonidae. The record is from Ensembl.
UUUGUCUCUCCACUCCAGUGAUGAUCCAUUGCAAUAAGCCUCCAGUGAUGAUCCAUGGCACAAAGCCUCCAGUGAUGAUCCAUGGCACGAAGCCUCCAGUGAUGAUCCAUGGCACGAAGCCUCCAGUGAUGAUCCAUGGCAUGAAGCCUCCAGUGAGGAGUCAUGGCAUAAAGCCUCCAACGAAGGCCUCCAGUCCGGAGCUUCCAGCGAUGGCCUCCAGUCCGGAGUCUCCAGCAACGGCCUCCAGUCCGGAGCAUCCAGAGACAGUCUCCAGCCCGGAGCCCCCAGAGACGGCCUCCAGCCCGGGACCCGCAGCGAGGGCGCCCAGUCCGGGGCCCGCAACGGGGGCAACCCAGUCCGGGGCCCACAAUGAGGGGGCCCAGUCCGGGGUCGGCGACGAGGGUCCCCGCACCAGAGGUGCCACCAAAGUGAGGGAAGUCCCCUCCUGUUCCCUGAUUAAGAGGUGAUGAUUACUCGACUCCACUACAAUUGUCAACUUUCUCCUGACAUAAACUGAAGCCACAUCUCAUGUGCCUGCUCAUCCACUGGCACAUUGAAUGUUUCCCCUCCGAGCACUGAGUACCCCCUAUCAAUUUUCUCUCAUUACUGUAUGUAGAGUCAAUUACUUACACUCACAUUAUUACACAUCAAUGAUUUUCCUCCUUGCUUGGACUAACUUAUUCUUAGCUCUUUUGUCAAACUGUGUACUGUGUUGUCUUGUAGUUUUUUGUCUUACCAGUCAAAUCCUGUACUGCACUGGUCAAGCCUCUGAACACCUCAACUCAUGCCUCAUUCAAUCACUGCUGUGAUCCCUUUCCAACAUGGUUCACCAGCCUCCACUGCUUUCAACAUACAGUAUGCCCGGACAUCUCCCGCUGUCACCCGAAGCAAGCCACUGAAACAGACUCACGCUAACAGAGCUGUACUGCUGGUUCCCAGUUAUUAUGUAGGCUAACGAAACUUUAGUUUGCAUGGCCUUUCCAUAUUAAAAAAGGAUGAAUCCAAUCUGUAAUGUGUCUGCGUUGCAGCAUUGCCCCUCUAUUCCCUACGCACACAUAAUCCACUAUCAAUAUUUAUAGAAAGACAAUAUGACAAAUUGAAUUGGUCAAACUGAUAAACAUGCAGUUAUUCAUUUGAUGUUUAAUUUAAUUGAAGACAUCAGUGUGUGCAUAUAGGAACUUUACAUGUUAUAGCCCAGAGUGCCCCUUAUGGAAAAACAACAUGAUUUCACAUGUGGAAAAUCAAAUGUUUUCAUUUCCAGAAGAUUUCACAUAACAUUUCCUCUUGUUUUGCACAUGUGAAUCUAUGUGUUUUUGGAACACUUCAAUUGUGAUAAUGUGGAUUUUUACGUGUGAAAAUAUAAGGUUUCACAUUUGGAUUCAAAUUUUCACGAUAUUUCAUAGGCGAUGCCCUGA